Long non-coding RNA from Colossoma macropomum (tambaqui), 281 nucleotides. RefSeq lists it as uncharacterized. NCBI's taxonomy places the organism in Eukaryota, Metazoa, Chordata, Actinopteri, Characiformes, Serrasalmidae. The record is from RefSeq and is a predicted model, not a curated record. The transcript is spliced from 4 exons.
CGUAAUGGAAUCAUCUGUAUGUUGGUCUGAGGGCGAGAGCUGUGAUUGGCUGAGAGAUGCUGAUGGGAAUGUUUAAAUUCUUCCCUUCUGAAGAGGAACGGACAGAUUUUACGGAGAAAUCCCGACGUUUGUGGAGUUAAUGGGAGUAUAUUAGAGGAUAAAGUAUGGAGGUGUUGGUUCUCCUCUCCUGUCUGCUGGCUGGAUCUGCAGCAUUUCCCGUUGCUGAGAGCGACAGUAACGAGGUUCUGCCGCAGGUACAGAGGGUCUCUGGAGCUCUGUGU